RNAcentral lists this ribosomal RNA (170 nucleotides) under Bregmaceros sp. CBM DNA No. 2000-006. Its description in RNAcentral is "partial 12S rRNA". The record is from RNAcentral. Lineage: Eukaryota; Metazoa; Chordata; Actinopteri; Gadiformes; Bregmacerotidae.
CACCGCGGUUAUACGAGAGGUUCGAGUUGAUGAUAUGCGGCGUAAAGUGUGGUCUAUGCUACUCACACUAAAAGGAUUAAAUUGUAACAACAUUGUUAUACAUUUACGAUACCAUUAAGUUCAUUCACGAAAGUUAUCCUUAUAUUCUUGAAGCCACGAAAGCCAAGACC